UUUGGCUUUUGUCCUUUUGAUGAAAUAAAUGUCAUUUGAGCAUUGGGGUCAAUGUAAUUGACUAGUCCCCUUCCUUGAAAUUUCAAGCAUUGUGCCUAAUGUAGAAAGGAUUAUUAUUAAUGUUACUGACAGUACAAUGCUCUUCCAUGUCUGUCUAAUUUGUCUUAUAGUUCAAAAUACUUUGAAAGCAUUUCAUUCUUUUCUUGACAUAUAACACUAGAACACCUCUUCCUCUCUGCCUGUCUUUUACCUAGCUGUACCUGACUUUUAUCUUCUGGACAUCAUUCCUCUGCAUAUUAGCUAUUAGCUGAACUAUUGCUUCCCCGUAUUGCUCUAUUUGACAAGCCUCUGCUGUAACUAUAAAAUCCCAUAAGAAAUCUGAGUGCACAAAGUAUAAUGUGAUUAUCUGGAACUAUAUAUAAUUAACCCUGGAAAGUAAUAAAAUGAAUUAAACAAUUCACAAUGGGAGGUCAUGGUGUUGAAUGUGCUACAUGCUUCCCAAUCAUUGCUGUAUAAAGCUACUCAUGUGACACUUUAUGUGUAGUUGUAUACAGCUGACAGGCUCUUUUAAUUUUUCUAGAAAAAUUUUUACUGGAUAAACACUUCCCAAUUUACCUUUGUUAGAGGUAAUGUAAUUUGAAAUUGAAAUUGUUAGUGAAAUCGCAGAACUUUUAGACGCUAAUCCCAAUUAUGCUCAUUUCAGGGUGUGGAAGAUGUUGUUUCUACAAGAGAUUUAGAUCCUUGUUAUCUCCUAAAAUAGGUUAAUGACUUGCAGUAAUUGAUAACUAGAGAAUAGCUUGCUAUCCUCCAAAGUACAGCAGUUCUCUGUUUCUGACUUUGUAUUCAAUUAAGCAAUAUUUGAUUGCACUGUGUGGAAGUUGGCUCUCAGUGUCAUAUGCCUAUUUUCUUGUCAUAAUGGUUCUUGGUUUUCAGUCUGAGCUGACUAUUCUCCAACCUAUGCUAGGGGACAAAAGAUGCACUCCUUACAAUGGAUAAUAUACAUUGCGUUAAUAAUUGUUUGGCUAUCUCUUUGAUUCUUGGUUCCACCUGACUAAUGACUCAGAAGAUGGUUGGCUAGUUGACUAACUCCAAGUUAUUAUUACAUAAACAAAGCCAUCAAACAUUUAACAUAUGACAAGAUUUUAUAACAGAUCAUGCACACGCACACUUUACGUAUAUAUAUAUAUAUACACACACAUAUACACACACAUGAUGGCUGUUGGCUCAUGAAACAUUUAUGACCAUGGCUGACUAAAUAUACCACUGCAUAACAUAUUGUGAAAACGACAAUGGCUCUUGAAUCCUGCUCGCAACUUACAGAACUUGUUGCAGAUUUGACAUUCAUACAAAUUCUUCUGACUUCUUAAUUGUUCUGGAUUAUUCUGAUGAUUUUUUUUUUUCAGUGCACCCUCAUAUACCUAAAUACUCUGAGUGAUUUAUACACAUGUUUUGGGGAAAAUAGUGCAUGUGAGGUUGGCCCCUGCAAGAAAAUCGUUGUAGUUUGUUCCAGUUCUUUCUGUAUGGCUUCUCUGUUGGCUUACCAGGCCUGUGCAAAACAAACAUAUGCGGCCGUAGACUUCAGACUUGAUGAGGAACUGUAGGGUCAAUGGAAUUGUCAUUUCAUGCUGAUCUCAUUAAGCAUGCCCACUCGUUUGCAUUUCACUGGAAUGUGCUCACUUCAUCUUAGACUCUUUGCUUCCAGGUUUUCCUAUCAUGUGAUAUGUCUUCCCACACCUGUUCUGAAAUCUCACAGAUUCCAAGCAAUACUUUUACAUUGUCCUUAAAUUGCUUUCUUGGCCUAUGUUGUGGUUGAGUACCUUGUGACGGUUUGCCAUACAUUUGCUUGAGAAUUCUACUGUCAUGAAGAUGCACAACAUGACCAACCCAGCACAUUUGGUGACAGUGAAUGUUGGCCUCAGUACUCACUGCAUUGGCUAAAACCUCUGUGUCAAGGGUAUGUGUCAUCCAGUGGAUGCCCAAGAUAUUUCUGAAACAUUGCUGAUGAUAACACUCAAGUGUUUUUAGGUGUGGCAGUACACUACCCAUGUUUGACACAAAAAUAUGCACGUGUUGUAGACUGCCAGCUUUUCUAGGACCAGACACAACUCUCCAGAGCAGCAAAGGCAUCAGUGUCCCUUUUUUUUAUUAAUGCAGUGAUCUCAUCGUCCAUAGGGAAGCAACUGUUGGUAAUGCUGCCCAGGUAUGUAAACUUACCAACCACCUUCAGUUUGUGGCCAUCAACAUAGAUAGCUCUAUAUAUGGCAUUCUAGGUGCAGGUUGGUACAUUACUACAGUUUUGUCAAGGCUGAUGGUGAGGUCAAAGGUCUUGCAGGAGUGUCAAAAUCUAUCCAUCAAGUUUUACAUCACCUCUGCUCUGUGUGGCUGAAGAUCACAAUCAUUGGCAUAUAAGAGGUCAUGUACCAAGGACUGGAGAGUUUUUGUCACAGAAUGCCAAAUGGGCAUAAUGUUCAAUAUGGUAUGUACACGCUUUCCUCACAGUCACUGAAAGCAUGCAGAACUACAGAGAAGAUUGUGAAUACUGCUAGGGGCAUCAUUUUAACCUUCUACUAGUUUGGUCAUCUACGCUUCAGAACAAGUUAGUCUUGUGCUACCUCCACUCAAGCACUUCUGAUUUACACAUCUUUUCUCCUCUCAACCCAGUCCUUCAUUCCCAGAAUGUUGCCUCUCUGGGAUUCCCACUCUGUGUGCAUUUUUCCUUCAGCUGUCAAUUUGCAAUUAUUCAUAAAGAGUGUUAACUUGGAUUUAACUAGUCUUGAGAAGCAGAGGUGUGCGUACCUUAAGCACAGCCACUUCAUUGACCAAACUUAUC
This is a long non-coding RNA of Octopus sinensis (East Asian common octopus), 2830 nucleotides long. RefSeq lists it as uncharacterized. NCBI's taxonomy places the organism in Eukaryota, Metazoa, Mollusca, Cephalopoda, Octopoda, Octopodidae. The transcript has 2 exons. The record is from RefSeq and is a predicted model, not a curated record.